Molecule: ribosomal RNA, 253 nt
Filed under: uncultured bacterium
Lineage: Bacteria
Description: partial 16S ribosomal RNA
Rfam family: Bacterial small subunit ribosomal RNA
Source: RNAcentral
UACGUAGGGUGCAAGCGUUAAUCGGAAUUACUGGGCGUAAAGCGUGCGCAGGCGGUUAUGCAAGACAGAUGUGAAAUCCCCGGGCUCAACCUGGGAACUGCAUUUGUGACUGCAUGGCUAGAGUGCGGCAGAGGGGGAUGGAAUUCCGCGUGUAGCAGUGAAAUGCGUAGAUAUGCGGAGGAACACCGAUGGCGAAGGCAAUCCCCUGGCCCUGCACUGACGCUCAUGCACGAAAGCGUGGGGAGCAAACAGG